UACAGAGGGUGCAAACGUUGUUCGGAAUUACUGGGCGUAAAGCGCGUGUAGGCGGCCCGGAAAGUCGGAUGUGAAAGCCCUGGGCUUAACCCAGGAAGUGCAUUCGAAACUCCCGGGCUUGAGUUCUGGAGAGGAAGGCGGAAUUCUCGGUGUAGAGGUGAAAUUCGUAGAUAUCGAGAGGAACACCGGUGGCGAAGGCGGCCUUCUGGACAGUGACUGACGCUGAGACGCGAAAGCGUGGGGAGCAAACAGG
RNAcentral lists this ribosomal RNA (253 nucleotides) under uncultured bacterium. RNAcentral describes it as "partial 16S ribosomal RNA". It matches the Rfam family "Bacterial small subunit ribosomal RNA", at positions 524 to 776 of the family's 1533-position model. The record is from RNAcentral.